CAAACUUCAUAAAUAACAUUCUGAUAUGUCGGUCAUAAAUUCGAAUGUACAUUUUUGUGUCGUAUUUUGUUAAUAUGGGGACUAGCUAACAGUCGUGGGUCGUGGGUAGAAUGUCGUGGGUCGUGGGUAAAAAGUCGUGGGUCGUGGAUAAAAAGGCGUGGGUCGUGGGUAAAAAGGCGUGGGUCGUGGGUAAAAAGGCGUGGGUCGUGGGUAAAAAAUCGUGGGUCCCGAAUAAAAAGUCGUGGGUUCCAAGCAAAAUAUUUCCAUAUAUUUACCUUUCUCCCUUUGGNNNNNNNNNNNNNNNNNNNNACAGUCGUGGGUCGUGGGUCGUGGGUAGAAUGUCGUGGGUCGUGGGUAGAAUGUCGUGGGUCGUGGGUAAAAAGUCGUGGGUCGUGGGUAAAAAGUCGUAAGUCGUGGGUAAAAAGUCGUAAGUCGUGGGUAAAAAGGCGUGGGUCGUGGGUAAAUAGGCGUGGGUCGUGGGUAAAAAGGCGUGGGUCGUGGGUAAAAAGGCGUGGGUCGUGGGUAAAAAGGCGUGGGUCGUGGGUAAAAAGGCGUGGGUCGUGGGUAAAAAGGCGUGGGUCGUGGGUAAAAAGGCGUGGGUCGUGGGUAAAAAGGCGUGGGUCGUGGGUAAAAAAUCGUGGGUCCCGAAUAAAAAGUCGUGGGUUCCAAGCAAAAUAUUUCCAUAUAUUUACCUUUCUCCCUUUGGAAUGCGUGUUUUUUUUUUCUUCUGAGGCUUUCCCAAACUAUGCCCAAAUAUGCAUAGCUUAGAGCGCGUUAAGGCCGGGUUUUUGAUAUCGGCAGAUCGGUUUAUAAAUAUUAUAACCAAGUGUGGAUGAAACAGUUCAACUUCAAGCCCCAUAUAGCUCAAAUAUUUGGACGUUAUAAUCUUAUAGACAGAUAAAUAUUGUAAUUCUUCAAUAGGAAAUAGUGCUGUCAAGCCUGUCAUAAAUAGCUAAAUUCUGACAUUCAGGGCUUCACUAAUUUGUUGAUCGAUGUUCUUACAGUAAUAAGCGAGAAAUUUCCACUUGGACAGUGUUAAUUUAAUGCAAUGUCUGUUAAUUUACUAGGGAAAAAUAAAAGAAAGCAUUUGAGAGAUUUCAC
RNAcentral lists this long non-coding RNA (1101 nucleotides) under Paramuricea clavata. Lineage: Eukaryota; Metazoa; Cnidaria; Anthozoa; Malacalcyonacea; Plexauridae. The record is from RNAcentral.